UACGUAGGGGGCAAGCGUUGUCCGGAAUCAUUGGGCGUAAAGAGCGUGUAGGCGGCUCGAUAAGUCUGCUGUGAAAGUCCAGGGCUCAACCCUGGAAGGCCGGUGGAAACUGUCGGGCUAGAGUCCGGAAGAGGCGAGUGGAAUUCCCGGUGUAGCGGUGAAAUGCGCAGAUAUCGGGAGGAACACCAGUAGCGAAGGCGGCUCGCUGGGCCAUUCCUGACGCUGAGACGCGAAAGCUAGGGUAGCAAACGGG
Molecule: ribosomal RNA, 253 nt
Filed under: uncultured bacterium
Lineage: Bacteria
Description: partial 16S ribosomal RNA
Rfam family: Bacterial small subunit ribosomal RNA
Source: RNAcentral